AUUGAACGCUGGCGGAAUGCUUUACACAUGCAAGUCGAACGGCAGCACGGACUUCGGUCUGGUGGCGAGUGGCGAACGGGUGAGUAAUGUAUCGGAACGUGCCCAGUCGUGGGGGAUAACGUAGUGAAAAUUACGCUAAUACCGCAUACGAUCUAUGGAUGAAAGCGGGGGAUCGCAAGACCUCGCGCGAUUGGAGCGGCCGAUAUCAGAUUAGGUAGUUGGUGGGGUAAAGGCCCACCAAGCCAACGAUCUGUAGCUGGUCUGAGAGGACGACCAGCCACACUGGAACUGAGACACGGUCCAGAUUCCUACGGGAGGCAGCAGUGGGGAAUUUUGGACAAUGGGCGAAAGCCUGAUCCAGCCAUUCCGCGUGCAGGAUGAAGGACCUCGGGUUGUAAACUGCUUUUGUACAGAACGAAAAGGUUUCUACUAAUACUAGGAGCUCAUGACGGUACUGUGAGAAUAAGCACCGGCUAACUACGUGCCAGCCGCCGCGGUAA
Molecule: ribosomal RNA, 500 nt
Filed under: uncultured bacterium
Lineage: Bacteria
Description: partial 16S ribosomal RNA
Rfam family: Bacterial small subunit ribosomal RNA
Source: RNAcentral